RNAcentral lists this long non-coding RNA (5788 nucleotides) under Xyrichtys novacula (pearly razorfish). Lineage: Eukaryota; Metazoa; Chordata; Actinopteri; Labriformes; Labridae. The record is from RNAcentral.
UCUUUGUUACGGACUGGAUAGCGUGGGGUCACAUCUCCGAUGUAGGACAGCGUCUUAAAGAGACAUGAGACCAUAGCCUACCUACACAUAUCCAAAACCAACUUUUAUUUAUUUUUUUUGACACCGAAUAUAUUGACAUGGGCAAAAUGACAUCGGUUAUUGUUGUAAAUUUUGGUAUCGGUAAAUUUUCGAUUAUUGCCCAGCCCUAAGAUGUGAUUUAGUUAGCACUGGGUAUGUUCAGGACCAAAGAAGCAACUUCAAUUAGCAGGGCGAUAUCUUCAAACUAACAAAAACUUUGUUGCAGACACACUUACACGACCAGCAGACAGAAAAUAUGACAAUGCAUCAUAAUGAGAUGAUCAUUUUUCAAAAUCUUUGGCUGUAUUUUUGUUCUUCUCUUAUUGUUAGAUUCCUUUCAUCUAUUGGUGGUUUAUGGUCUUUUUAACUUGUUUUAUGAUGGUUUAUGCUUAUACAAUACAAGAAUUUUAUUGAUACUCAAGGGGAAAUGCAUUUGAUCUGUUAUGAUCUGACCUGCAGCAACAGGUCCAGGGCUUCUCUCUGGUAGGACAUUUAACAAACUGUGUUCCAGUCAGGUAAGAGGAGAUGGCGACAUGGUUGAAGUCUCCUGAUAUUAUGCUGCGUUACAGUUACCUCCGAAGUCUGAUGUCGGAGCUGAGAAUGAUGUUACACACGAGUUGACGGAGUUCCAGUAAACAAGUCAAAAUACUACGAUGGACGCUUACUGUUAGCUGUUGUUAGCUGCUAGCCGUUGUCAUUUGUUGUCAGUGGUUGUCAGUUAUUAGCCAUUGUCAGCUGUUGUUAGUUGUUGUUAGAUAUACUAGUUGUAAACAAAGCACAACACAGUAUUUUACUCUUAUAAACACCAUAGCACCGUGUUCACAGUUAGACGUUGGCAGUACAACAUAUAUCACUUAUUUAAUUUCACAAAAAAAAAAAAAAACAGAAGUGCACAUGAACAAUACAUUAUGAGAGCUUUCACUGUUACUCUUUACUGUCAAUGCACUGCGCUGCCAUCUUGAAUUAUGACAUUGUCGUCAAGUCGGGGUUGGUGAGGAUCGUCCAACGUUCCGGGUCGGAAAUCCGACUUCAGGGGGCAACGUAGCAUUAUUACAAGUGCCUCAGGAUGUUGUCUGUAUCCUAGCAACAGUAUCGUGGAGAACAUCACACAGAACUUCAGCCGUUGCCUUAGGUGGGAUGUAUACAAGUAUUGUUAUGAUAUGACUGAACUCCCUUGGAACAUACCUCACUUGGUGGUGUCCAUCUUUUUGUUCUACUUUCGUUCUCAUUUCUGUUCUCAUGGAUCUUUCUCUUAUCUCUCUUCAUUUAUCCAUUUAUCUCUUUUUUAUAUUCUUCACUUUCCUAAUAUUAAAAAUGUGACUGUAAACCACAUACUUCUUUCAUAUUGUGCAGGCCUACUGUGCACUGCAGAUGAGAAAUCAAAGCUCAAAUUUGCUCCCAUGGGGUCUCCCUCUCUUGAAACUCGUGGCUCAUAUUAAGCUUGCAUGUGAAUCUGCAUGCAUAAAGAUGAGAAAGGCCUGCUACUUAAAUGCAGCAGCUUGGCAGAGAGAAAGAAGAAAAUGUACAAAAGAUUAUUUCAGGUCAGAGACUCCCCUGAGUAAACUUAUAUCUACAACAGAAAUCUACCGAAAAUCACAAAAAUCCACGUUGAAAAAUAGGUUUCCAAGCAGCACCAUUAUUUUGUUACCUCUGGCAGACAGCGAGGCACCUGGGAAAUCUGAGCUGACGUGACAGAGGGAGCAGGAGUCCAGCAGAAAAACUAGAUCACUUUCUUAAGCUAAUUAGCCCGGUAUAUUACCAAUCAAAAGAACCUCGCUCCCAAACACAACGGCCGGCCAAGAAAUAUAUUUGUCUUCCAUUUGUGAGCGACUGGCAGUGGAAAAACUCCAGGACUGAGUAUUAUUCACCCGAGACAUUCCUGAGGAUAAAACGCUGCAUUACAGAGGGAUCCUAGGUCUGAUUUUUGUCACUGCUGUCACUGUCUCUGCAUAAAAAAAUCACAUGACAACUUUGAUGAAAUAAAAUCCAACUGGUAAAGAUUAAAUCAGCUCAAAUCAAAGAGUGAAAAUAUUUUUUAUACUGGAGCCAAACUUCGUAAAACUGAGAACUAACUUUGUUUAAUAGUGCUAUGGGAGUAAGAGAUGCUGAGGAACUCUAAGCUGACACUUUUAAUGGUGUCCCAAACAAUACAAUAAAUAGCUGCAGUCAUUAAGCACACUGUAUAACGCAUUUUACCAGAAAUAGAAAGAAAAUGGGCACGUUUUUCAAUAACCUGCUCAGUAAAAGCGUUUUAAGUUUUUUUUUCUUCCCUUUUUCUGAUAAGCAUUUUGAAGUUUUUGAUUGUAGGCCGACACAAACGGUUUUCAAAAUAUUCUUGUUUUGUAAUCCCAGGAGAACCUCUGCAGCAGGUUUUCUGAGCACAAAAUAAGAUUAUUAAUUCGUUGUUUUAUUUGAGUUAAACUUUCAGCUUCUCUGUAUUGCUUAUUUUUCAAUCAGUCAUACUCCUGACAUCUCAAAAACAAUCUUUUUUCCUGCAACUCUUGAGCAUUUUUGUGGGACUGUUGAUUUUUUUGCUGCAGAAACGUUUUCACAGUUCUGAGAACUGUUGAAACUCCCCACCCUCCAGAGUCCAUAACAUAAGAUGACCACAACUAUGAACUAUUUUCAGUUGCUGUAACCCCUUUCAGAGGAGCUCUUUGAGCUCCUGGUUCAGGUUCUCUCCCAGCACAUGAGGGAGUUUGAGUAACAUGAAAAGUUAGUGGGAGGUAACUGAGUAGAACUGGUGACCCCCAACAAUCCGCUGAGGUAGUCAGACAUUGCUCACUGCCACCUACACUAAAAGGCCAAUACAAACACAGACAUGAAAACACAAAAGUACACAAAAGGCAACAAACAUAUCUAGAGUAAUUUAAGAAAAGCUAUAAGAAAAAUCAUGCUUAAAAAGAAAAAUGCCAACUUUUGCACACAUCACUGUUUCCAGUGCAGCAGUAAACUGACGAUUGAUUACUUUAAAGCACAGCCUAUGAUUUGUAGAUUCCUUCCAGGGCAUUGAGGGAUGGUCUUAAUCUUUUUAGUGGUCAGUAUAAACCCCUAAUAAUUAACUGGAGGUAACACCUGUAACUUUCAAUUUGCAGCUUUCACCAGUAGAGGGCGUAAAAGCAUCAUAGAUCUGUAUGAGCUGGGCUGACAGCUGCAUGAGGUUUGGUGCAAAUGCAUCCACCGCAAGAAAAACCUGGAAAUGUAAUUAUCGCUGUGUUGGUAAUAUACAAAUACAUCAUAGAGCAUUUUUAUCAAGGGAAGUAUCAUAUCCAUACAUCUGUGAGCGUAAUAAUGCAAGAAAAACUGCAGUUAUCUACUUAUGGGAUUUCUUUAUUAAUGAUAUGCCUUCAAAAUAUUGGCAAAAGGAACAGACCUUUUCUAUCCAUAUCUUCUAUCUAUCUAUCUAUCACUUUAACUUCUAAUAAGGUCAUUGUCAUAAAUUUCAGAAAAACUGGUCAUAAGUAAGUGGUGUAAAUCUCUGCAAAUUUGCUUUUGGGCAGUGAGUCCAUCCGUACUUCUCGAUGAUUGACACCGCUGUAGCUGAGCUCAGGUAUCUCACAGAUACUUGGCAGGCUGAUGAUAACAAACAGUACAACAAACAGCUACACAUCUGCACAGAAACUGCACAUUACUCAACUGAAGUAAGGUCUUCACCGACAGCAAUACUCAGUAACCAACAGCACUAACAGUAAGGGUAUUUUUGAGUGAGCAAGCAAUAUUCACAUCUCUGGGAUACCUGAAAAUAAUAUACCCUAAUAUAAUAUACUACUCUGAUGUUAUUAUUUUAGAAAUCAUAAGGGGCUAAGUAUGUCUGGGGCAGUUUGGAGCUCAACCCCUGCACACAAGCUGUGGAGAUGGCUGGAGAUGCUGACAGCUCAACAAGGAGAUGCAAAAACAAGAGCAAACUGCAUGGAGCUGCAAAAACGUAUGGUUAUUUUUGCACAAGAGUAUCAUCACUGUAAUACGCUUUAAGUGGUGUCAAAUAAUGUGUAAUUUUUGCAACAGUUAGCAACUGACAUCCAUGCCUUAUGAAUACCCCCAAUCAUUUUUUAUCUAAAUCUAGACCCAAACUCACAGAAACAGAGUGUACAGCUGUGGUUUCAUGGGCACUGUUGCUAUUUCUAAUCAAAAUUGUUCUGAUCUAAGAAUUGGAGUCAAACUGUUUAGAAUUAGUGUGACUGUAAUACAAUACAGUGUACAUAUACUCUCAUCUUUUUAACCUGAACAUCUUGCAACAGGUGCAAAAAUGUACUCAUAUUUUGUCUUGAGCUUUACUUUAAAAAUAUUGAUCUGUUGAACAGCUGUUUUGGUGGUUUUAAAAACAUAGUUCACCACUCACUAAUAAAAUCAUGGAGGUUAUUAACAGGAGGAUGAAGCAAGGUAAAAAUUGAGUUCGACCAAAAUUAGUCUUUUUAUUGGUUUAUAGGCAGGUUGAAUUGACCCACUUGCAAUAAUUCUACCAUAAAAGGUUAUUUCUGUUGGUUUUCUAAAGGUGUCCAGUAUCUCCUUCAUGUUAAACAGACAGUAGAGCCAAAGUCAAACGUGACACCCAGCUCCAAUAGAAAGGUGACCUCACAGGAAACAACCACCAUCAUCUUCCUUCAGGAAACAUCUGGGCCGACACUUCACAACUUUAACAACCGAUCAGCAGAGACAGAAAAGCAGGCGUGUGUGGGAGUGCCACACUGGUUUCACUUUUAUCACCACAAAGAGGGAGUAAUCAGGAGGAUUAUAAGGGCAACAAGGAAAUGACCCCACACUUCAUUGUUUCCACUGAGAACUCCUCUGAGGCAGCACAGUGUGGGCUUACACUGGACAUGAAAAUGGAUAAAAUCAGGUUUCCGUGAGCACUGGCUGUCGGCCGAACAGCCAACACAUCAAAAAACUACAGCUACCUUCUUCUCCUGCUGUUUACUUUGAUAAAAUACAUGGCAAGCUUGGACCUACUUUUUCUGCAAAUUUGGUAUCCUCUUUAUUUCAAUACAAGCCUGAGAAAGAUGUCUCUUAUUGUGAACAUUUCCUUCACUUACUUUUAGUAAUUUUCCUGUUAUUCCUUAUCAGUUUUGGGGUGGUGGUCUUUUGUUGUUUGAUUUAGGUAGUUAGGGUAGACAGAUUUUUAUUUUGUUCUAUUCACAAGGUAAAAAUUACACUGUACAACAUCGGUUAAUUCUUCGUUUGUUAUAUUCAUUCAUUGAUUUGUUCAGCAUUAACAUCUAGUUUUUUAUGUUGCUUCUUUUUGGCACAAAGGGUCAGUAUUGAAAAACACGACACUAUUUAUAUCAUUUACAUUACAUUGUAUCAUCUAUUAUUAUUACCAAUGUUUUUAUUAAGUUAAUGUAUCAUGUAAAUGUGCUUGGAUACAUGGAUGUCCACAAACAUCCUUAGUUUGCUCACCUUAUUUUUUUUUAUUUCCAUUAUUCCUCCUCCACGCCGACGCACACAAGUCCAUGCAGCUUUCCUCCUCUCUUACACAAUGGAGUAUCUGAAAAUUUGACAAUAUCCAUCUUUAUCCUAAAGAAUAAAACACACUUUUUCGUAAUCUUCCAUUCAAUAAUCAAUUCAUCACAAAAGGUGACCUAUGUGAUUUUUUUUUACAAAAGUUUUGCAAAACUCUUAAAUUAAAGGGAUACUAUCACUGAAAUUUAAGUUAUCGUCAAACACACUGAAUAACCGAGUAAGACACCCUCUCGAGAGAUGAAUGUUGCUGACU